RNAcentral lists this ribosomal RNA (497 nucleotides) under uncultured bacterium. RNAcentral describes it as "partial 16S ribosomal RNA". It matches the Rfam family "Bacterial small subunit ribosomal RNA", at positions 28 to 507 of the family's 1533-position model. The record is from RNAcentral.
GAUGAACGCUGGCGGCGUGCCUAAUACAUGCAAGUCGAGCGAACAGACGAGGAGCUUGCUCCUCUGACGUUAGCGGCGGACGGGUGAGUAACACGUGGAUAACCUACCUAUAAGACUGGGAUAACUUCGGGAAACCGGCGCUAAUACCGGAUAAUAUAUUGAACCGCAUGGUUCAAUAGUGAAAGACGGUUUUGCUGUCACUUAUAGAUGGAUCCGCGCCGCAUUAGCUAGUUGGUAAGGUAACGGCUUACCAAGGCAACGAUGCGUAGCCGACCUGAGAGGGUGGUCGGCCACACUGGAGCGUGGACACGGUCCAUGCUCCUACGGUAGGCAGCAGUAGGGAAUCUUCCGCAGUGGGCGAAAGCCUGACGGAGCAGCGCCGCGUGAGUUAUGAAGGUCUUCGGAUCGUAAAACUCGGUUAUUAGUGAAGAACAAAUUUGUAAGUAACUAUGCACGUCUUGACGGUACCUAAUCAGAAAGCCACGGCUAACUACGUG